UGAAUAUACCGGUUCUCGUUAGAUCACCGAAGUUAAGCAUCAUUGGGCGCGGUCAGUACUUGGGUGGGUGACUACCUGGGAACACUGCGUGCCGUU
RNAcentral lists this ribosomal RNA (96 nucleotides) under Caerostris darwini. The record is from RNAcentral. Lineage: Eukaryota; Metazoa; Arthropoda; Arachnida; Araneae; Araneidae.